ACCGGGAGAUAGCUGGUUCUCCCCGAAAGCUAUUUAGGUAGCGCCUCGUGAAUUCAUCUCCGGGGGUAGAGCACUGUUUCGGCAAGGGGGUCAUCCCGACUUACCAACCCGAUGCAAACUGCGAAUACCGGAGAAUGUUAUCACGGGAGACACACGGCGGGUGCUAACGUCCGUCGUGAAGAGGGAAACAACCCAGACCGCCAGCUAAGGUCCCAAAGUCAUGGUUAAGUGGGAAACGAUGUGGGAAGGCCCAGACAGCCAGGAUGUUGGCUUAGAAGCAGCCAUCAUUUAAAGAAAGCGUAAUAGCUCACUGGUCGAGUCGGCCUGCGCGGAAGAUGUAACGGGGCUAAACCAUGCACCGAAGCUGCGGCAGCGACGCUUAUGCGUUGUUGGGUAGGGGAGCGU
RNAcentral lists this ribosomal RNA (405 nucleotides) under Escherichia coli. RNAcentral describes it as "partial 23S ribosomal RNA". It matches the Rfam family "Bacterial large subunit ribosomal RNA", at positions 837 to 1239 of the family's 2925-position model. The record is from RNAcentral. Lineage: Bacteria; Pseudomonadati; Pseudomonadota; Gammaproteobacteria; Enterobacterales; Enterobacteriaceae.